CUAAGAGAGAGCUGUAGGCACAUCUUGGACGGGAAGACUUUGGAGAGGACGUGUGCACAUUUGAUGUGGACGUAGACCAUAAGCUGCGUUGGCUAGUACAGGCCAUCUGAAUGGAGGAGCAAAUCUCAGGCCCUAGAUUAUUCCUCAUGGGCAUCCUUCUUUAUGGUACUACUGUGUGUGGAAUGGUUGAGAAGGUGAAAACAACUUCACUCCCAUCCUAUGUUGAAGCAAGCUAGAACACUUUAUUGCUGGAGCCACGUUAGAUCACAGAGUGGUGUGCCAGCUGCCUCCAGUGGGACCCUGACCGGCAUGCCGCACAUUAGACCACUACCGUACCUCAACCACCAGAACCCUAACUCCCCAGGAACUUCAUGCAGAUUUUCCUUAGCUUGGCGCAUACCAGCUAAAACUACAAGCCUUCUCUCCACCCCCUCUGGUGCCUCCACGGUGGGUCUGGAGGGUGACAGCAGCCCGUCCUCCUUGGCCAUGGUGUGCAGAACUGGAAGCCAGUCAGAAGCCUGCCACAGUGGGCAUCUGGGGCUGGAGAUUUGUAUAUGUCAAGCAUAAUCGUGGUCCACUGUAUGAGUGUUUUUAUUGUAGUACUUUUUAAAAUUCAGGUCCCAUUUGCCAUCUUUUAAAUUAAAAUGAUAGCUUCCGAUGCUUAGUCUUACUUGUUGCAAGCAUAAUUAUAACAAAAGGUUUGUUGAAAAUAAUGUCAAAUAAAGAAUAAUC
This is a long non-coding RNA of Heterocephalus glaber (naked mole-rat), 732 nucleotides long. Lineage: Eukaryota; Metazoa; Chordata; Mammalia; Rodentia; Bathyergidae. The record is from Ensembl.